UGGGGAAUAUUGGACAAUGGGCGAAAGCCUGAUCCAGCCAUGCCGCGUGUGUGAAGAAGGUCUUCGGAUUGUAAAGCACUUUAAGUUGGGAGGAAGGGCAGUAAGCGAAUACCUUGCUGUUUUGACGUUACCGACAGAAUAAGCACCGGCUAACUCUGUGCCAGCAGCCGCGGUAAUACAGAGGGUGCAAGCGUUAAUCGGAAUUACUGGGCGUAAAGCGCGCGUAGGUGGUUCGUUAAGUUGAAUGUGAAAGCCCUGUGCUCAACCUGGGAACUGCAUCCAAAACUGGCGAGCUAGAGUAGGGCAGAGGGUGGUGGAAUUUCCUGUGUAGCGGUGAAAUGCGUAGAUAUAGGAAGGAACACCAGUGGCGAAGGCGACCACCUGGGCUCAUACUGACACUGAGGUGCGAAAGCGUGGUGCGCAAACAGG
RNAcentral lists this ribosomal RNA (429 nucleotides) under Pseudomonadota bacterium. RNAcentral describes it as "Proteobacteria bacterium partial 16S ribosomal RNA". It matches the Rfam family "Bacterial small subunit ribosomal RNA", at positions 355 to 776 of the family's 1533-position model. The record is from RNAcentral. Lineage: Bacteria; Pseudomonadati; Pseudomonadota.